This 492-nucleotide ribosomal RNA is filed under the name uncultured bacterium. RNAcentral describes it as "partial 16S ribosomal RNA". It matches the Rfam family "Bacterial small subunit ribosomal RNA", at positions 30 to 507 of the family's 1533-position model. The record is from RNAcentral.
AUUGAACGCUGGCGGUAGGCCUAACACAUGCAAGUCGAACGGCAGCACAGUAAGAGCUUGCUCUUACGGGUGGCGAGUGGCGGACGGGUGAGGAAUACAUCGGAAUCUACUUUUUCGUGGGGGAUAACGUAGGGAAACUUACGCUAAUACCGCAUACGACCUACGGGUGAAAGCAGGGGAUCUUCGGACCUUGCGCGAUUGAAUGAGCCGAUGUCGGAUUAGCUAGUUGGCGGGGUAAAGGCCCACCAAGGCGACGAUCCGUAGCUGGUCUGAGAGGAUGAUCAGCCACACUGGAACUGAGACACGGUCCAGACUCCUACGGGAGGCAGCAGUGGGGAAUAUUGGACAAUGGGCGCAAGCCUGAUCCAGCCAUACCGCGUGGGUGAAGAAGGCCUUCGGGUUGUAAAGCACUUUUGUUGGGAAAGAAAAGCAGCAGGUUAAUACCCCGCUGUUCUGACGGUACCCAAAGAAUAAGCACCGGCUAACUUCGUG